ACAGGAGGAUAGGGCAUAAACUUCUUGUUGCUCUUCUUUCAACCCAACAUUGUUUCUCAUGCACUGUCGGUUUUUAAUUCAGUAAGCAUUUGGGGGUGUCCACUAUAUUUCAGGCUGCUUCAAGUGAUGGUAUGACUGACCAGUUAUGAAGGCACGGUUUAAAGGGUAAGUUAAGACCCAGCUCUGGUUACUCACAGAUGCCAAGCAUGAGAGGACAUCCUAUGAGUGUAAUGUAUUUCCCAUACAUUUCACAACAGAAGACAUAUAGGGCUGUCUGCACAUCCCAUGGAGGAGAGACCCUAGAGGAGUGUUUGAGAACAUAGUUCUGAAGUCAGUUCCAACACUCUCUCUUCCAUUUAUUUGCUAGAGGAUUGACCACGUUGCUUAACCUCCUUGUAGCACAAUUUCCUCAUCUUCUGAUUGGGGAUAACAGUACUUUAUGGGGUUGUUGUGAGGAUUAUGUGCUCUGUGUGUGUGUGUGUGUUUACACCUGUGUUUACAAAAGAGGUUAACAAACUAGUCUGUGAGCCAGAUUUGGCUGCUGCCUGUUUUUGUAUGGCCUAGGGACUAAUAAUAGUUUUUACAUAUAUUAAAAAUUGAAAAAAAUUGAAAAGUAAUAUAAUAUUUUUGACGUUUGAACAUUAUAUGAAAUUCGGUGUCCAUUUAUUCAGUGUCCAUAGAUAACACAGUUGUACUCAUUUGCUUAUGUGCUGGCUAUAGCUCCUCUCACUCUACAAAGACAGAAUUGAGCAUCUGUGAAUGAGACUUAGUUUGACUUUCAAAGCCUAAUACAUGAUCUGGCCAUUUAAAGGAAAAAAAAAAAAGUUGAAUUCUGGCUUCCAUUUUCUAAGUUAGAAUAAUAAUCUGGCUUGACCUUUAGUGUGAACAUCUCUUCAUCUUAGCUAAAUGUGAUGCUUGAAGACUAUUCAUGUGGUUGAAAAGUACAAGCAUGUAUCUGAUUCAGAUGUCUUUUUCCUUGUCGCAUCUUAGAAUUUCAUGAAGAGUGAAAAUAUCUGAAACCUCUUGUCUGUGCAGGUGGGCCUUUAAAGCUUCAUGGAACCUAAUGUUUGGUAACUAGUUUAACGGGUGUGCAUGUCAUAUCAUAGAGAACAUUGUAAAAUGUUCACUGAAGCCCACAGAGGGUUUUAUCCACUACAUUCUCUCUUGCUCCCCACCCCCGACCACAUCCAUAGGAAAUUAUCUUUGAGAAUAACGAAGUAUUGCGAACAAAGAGGAAUUAAAAUUAUAUUCCCGAGGCAGAUCCCAUUAUCAUCUCAUAGGAAUCUAACUCAAACCAACAGGGGGUGCCAGGUCAGCAUGCAUGUCUCUGGUGCAAAAGCACCCCUCCCAGGUCUUUCUAGAUGGGAGCUCAAUUUGGGUCCACGAUCACUCAACACAUUUGAGGAAGUCCAUUCCAUGUAGCAUUAUUUCAGAUCCUACUAUGAUGUGUUGCUUUAGUGAGGUGGCUCAAUCAUUCUGCUAUUAUUUAUUCAUGUGUAGACUUCUUAUACAAAUUGCUUCACUUACUGCUCUUGGGCUCCCAAUUCUGAACCUCUCUUUUGAAAAUCAAUAACACCUUUCUUCUGAGGGAAACUCUGGGCAAAGCCAGCUGUGAUGACUUUUGUUAUACUUCUUUGCAUUAAUUAUUCAUGGUUAUUUAUUGAAUAAUUCAACAUGUUAUAUGAUAAUUUUAAAGUUCUCUACCUUGUUACUGAAAAGUGAAGACUUUUUGGGCCAUCAAUUGAUUCAUGCCACAUGAAGCUAUUAUCACUGAGUGCAUGCAGUGUGUGAGAAGGUGACAUUCAGUUUUCAGGUUUCAUUAAAUAAAAUAAAGAUGAUUUGAGUAUAUUCCAUGGCCCUUAAGGAGAACAGGGAGCCUAUUCUUAUUCAAGCUACACUGUAAGUAAAGGGGAAUUACCAGUUUACUUAGAAAAGGCACAUUUUCUUGUUCCUUUUAUAAAGUACCAAUGAAAUAAUGAAGUAACACAUCUUCCCUCUAUAGUUAAUUAAAUGACAUAAAAUUUCCCCACAAAGUGGUUUAUUCUUUCUUUCCUUGUUUUCCUCUCCAUUUACUUCUUUAAUUUCACUUGACAAAAAGCAAAUGAUUUUUUAAGUAUUUGUCUUUCUUAUUUUUAAUUAUCUGUUUUUAUCACUGUUUCAUUCAAUUGUUCAUUCCUUUAUUCUGACACUUGAAUAUACAUUAACUGUCUUUCAGAUGCUUAUAGUUCUUUUGUAAAUGCACAAGUCCACCACCUAAACAAACCAAUCAUAAUCCACAGUGUCACUUACAGCUGUUUGACAUAGAGAGCAGCAAAGUUAGAAUUGUUGACUUUCCAUCGGUUCCUUCUCUGGAUUUCUAGUAUUUCUACACUAAGUAAUUCUCCUUCUAUCUAGGCCUCUAAACAGUUUUUAUCUGUAUGGAAAUACCUCUAAGUGAUGUAUAAUAUAACUCAAAGUCCUGUAGCAAUGUUUGAACCAAUGGGCUAUUUUAUUACUCUAUUAUCAGAAGGCAUAUCAGUUCACACUGGGUUGGGGAUGGGCCAGAAAAGCUGAAUAUGAAAUAAAGUAUUUUAUAAGCCUAGUGUCAUGUGGCUAAAAUGUUCCAAAUAAGUAGCUCAGAGAAGCUGUAGCGCAAAUAUAUAAUCGAUUACUAAUUUAGAACUAUUACAUCUUAGAUAUCUCUCUGCAGAGGUAUCUUUAUAGAGUUCCUGCGAGGCAGAUUUUGAAAUCACAUGGUUUCCUUGUGAUUAUGGAGUCAGAUCAAAACAAAGAGGAAUGGAUAAAAUAUUUAUUAAUUGAUUUAUGGCUCAUCUUCUAAGGACUUAAAGCCAUUUAAAAACUAAUGAGGAAAUACAUGCUAAUGAGAAAUGAGGUGAAGAUCAUGUGGAGUUAGAGGACAAAAAUCCUCCAUCUUGGCUUCUGCAUCAGGAGGUAAACUGGCUCACUGUGAGCAAAGGUUGUUUUUAAGCGAAUAUUUAAGAAAAAGAGCAUGAAAUUUCCGACUGUGCUAAUUUUUCCACAGUUACCAUGAUUCUAUCAUAAAUAUGCCCUGUUUAAUUUAUUACUUUUGUAAAAAAAAAAUCUUUGAGUAAAUUCGAUGAUCUAGAAAUAUGUGCAAUUUAGGGAGUUCCCGUCGUGGCACAGUGUAAGUGAAUCCAACCAGGAACCAUGAGGUUGGAGGUUUGAUCCCUGGCCUCGCUCAGUGGGUUAAGGGGUUAAGGAUCCAGUGUUGCCAUGAGCUGUGGUAUAAGUCGAAGGCGUGGCUUGCAUCUGGUGUUGCUGUGGCUGUGGCAUAAGCUGGCAGCUGUAGCUCCAAUUAGACCCCUAGCAUGGGAACCUCCAUAUGCCACAGGUACGGCCCUAAAAAG
Molecule: long non-coding RNA, 3368 nt
Filed under: Sus scrofa (pig)
Lineage: Eukaryota; Metazoa; Chordata; Mammalia; Artiodactyla; Suidae
Description: lncRNA (ENSSSCG00065021245.1)
Source: RNAcentral